UUCUUAAUUAGCCUCCGCCCGCUAUGAGAAUGUUUUCAUCUGUUGCCCGGCAUGGAUUCUCUGCCCCCGGCGCGUCGCAGCCCCCGAUCCCGUGGCGCCCGCCGGAGGACCGGCUCUUACUCUUUUUUCUCUCCGUCCCGGACUACGUCGCGGCUCUGUUUUAUUUUUGCUCUGAACCUUUCUCAGCGACCCUGGCGGGCGUCUCCAAGAUGAAUCAAAACUUUCAACGACGGAUCUCUUGGAUCUGGCUUCUUUGAAGAACGCAUCGCUGUGCGGGAUUUAAUGUGAAUUGCACAAUUCAGUGAACCAUCGGAUCGUUGAACGCACAUUGAGCCCGCCUGUAUUCUGGCGGGCAUGCCUGUCCGAGCGUCGUUUCGACUGUCAAACCCCUCCGGGGGGGCGGCCUUGGGGAUCGCACGAUUAGAAUUCACCCUGAAAUACGAGUCCAACCCUCCGGCGCAUACCUACCGAACCUUUGGUACACCCGUGGAGGGAGCGAGGAAAGGAGAAGAAACACCACAAACCUAACUCUGACAUGUUGACAAAAAAAUCAUGUUCGAAUACUCGCUGAACUUAAGCUUAUCAUUAACUAGGA
This 595-nucleotide ribosomal RNA is filed under the name Trichoderma sp. UM118. RNAcentral describes it as "eukaryotic LSU rRNA". The stretch from base 219 to 372 matches the Rfam family "5.8S ribosomal RNA". The record is from RNAcentral. Lineage: Eukaryota; Fungi; Ascomycota; Sordariomycetes; Hypocreales; Hypocreaceae.